Bombus pyrosoma is the source of this 7255-nucleotide RNA transcript. RefSeq lists it as uncharacterized. The transcript is spliced from 4 exons. The record is from RefSeq and is a predicted model, not a curated record. NCBI's taxonomy places the organism in Eukaryota, Metazoa, Arthropoda, Insecta, Hymenoptera, Apidae.
AGCGCGUCAAUCUGUUUGCUAUGCAAAUCCCAUCCGACCGGUGCUGACGUAGACGGUAACACCAACGCAGAAACGGGUCCGUCGACGAUAUCUCCUACUAACACACUUAACGGUGAGCAGUUAGUCAUUGCCCGCGUAGCAUACACGUAGAAAAUAUAAUUGGCUACCACGACGGACCACGCAGCAAUUCCACACGGGUUCUCCUUUAGCCCCACCACUUUUCUGCUCGGUAAUACUGAUACCGAACUCACUACACAACUCUUGCCAGCACCAAUACUACUUAGACAUAUAGUGCUGUUGUUACUACUACGAUUACAAUCACCAACCGUAAUAUCACCAAUACAACGACGACAUCGUGUCGGUAAACGCACCGCAAACUUCACAAACGAAUUCCUCUUGCGACUUACACGGUUCCGCACUGAUAUAUAUACAUAUCAGUGCGGCUCCGCGACUCUUGUCUGACGUCAUUGGCGCCUAAUCGCAACGUAUUUCGUGUAUCACUUCGCGUACUUCUCUCGGACGUGCACCUCGCGCUUUAACUAACGAUAAAUUCUUCCUGUGUCUUUCUUCCUUUUUUCCGUUUUGCCUUUCUUCCCUCGCGUGAUUCUCAAGAAUAACGUUACGACGCGAUUUCAAUAGUCUUGGUUCAACAAGUAUCUAUGACGGAAUUUUCUUUUCUUUUUAGUAUAAGUUUGCUAUCGCGAAAACGAUACAGUGUUACGCAGAAAUCAGUUUCUUCGGUUCGAUGAAUCUUCGCUUGACAGCCAACAGGGACAACGUCGCUUCGAGGAGACAGCUGGGAUGCACUAUAACGUUACAAUUUCUCGCUCAUUCGUCCUCGAUUGAGACGAUAAAGAACCGAUUCGAUCUACCGUAAGGUACGAUCUUGAAGCGCGUAUCGCGUAUCGAGUGUUUAAUCGCGCCACUCACUCGGCACAGGCACAAACCGCUUUCCACCGUGUCUAAUACGUUACUACUCAUCACUCUUCCUACAACAUAAUUCCUGUUCGACAACACUACACGCACUUUCCACGCUCCUGCUUGAUCGUCACCACUACCACUACCACUACUACUAUCACCACAAUCUUUUCUCACUAAAAGAAGAUGCUCGUACUGUGUAGCUGCGUUGCGAAACGGAUGCGCGCUCGCCUCAACAAGUGAUCGCAGCAGCAGUAACAGCAGAAGCGGCGGCGACGACGACGGAUCGUCAGCUCGUCGUUCCAGGGUCGUUCGUCGGCGUAUAGGUGGCACAGCACGCGCAUGCUACACCUCCUGACGGCGUUGUUAUUGUUGCGUAACUGGCGGCCCGCUAAGCCGAGUGUGCCGCUGCCAGCAGCCGGGCAGAGAGAGAGAGAGAUAGAGAGAACGAGAUGACGAGAGAAAGAGGCCGCGAGAGCGAGGUAACAGCAGCCGUGGGUGAGCCAGUGGGCGAGUAUCUCCGACGAGAGAGCAGUGAGCGUGCGAGCAGUGCGCCGUCUGGCGUGGCUGACGACAGUCUACUGCCUUCCGAGAACCACGAGGCGAUUCCGUGUAUCGAACGCGCACUGCCGAGCCACUGAAGGGAUGGACUCGAACGAUCAGAGUGGGGAUCCUGGUGGGACGAGAGGGGACGAAUUCGAGGUUCAGACGAGUGUAAAGCUUCAUCCACACGCAUUCAAUCUUCCGAAACGCUCUUGGCUAUACCACGCUCGUGAUUUAUAACGGGUUCUCUGCGAUGGGUUAAUACUCUACGUUCAAACAUUUCCGUAGAUUCCUCGCAUUUACAGCUGCUUAAUAGCAAUAAUUGCGUUAGUAGAAGUAUAAAAUUAAAGCAGAAAAUGUAGUACAUCAGUUUAUCGGUUUCAUGAACAUCUCAACAAGUAUAGUUAAUGACUAUAUUUCAUUUAAAUACGUAUUUUAAAUGGAUUGUGUAUUUUAAAUGACUUUUCGUUAGUUAACGUCUUUAUUGGUUGUUGUUUGUAUGUUAGUCAACAUAUCUUUUAUUACUCGUUUUAAAAUAGGUGCUACGCCUAAAAAAAAAAAUAUAUAUAUAGAUGUAUAUGUGUGUAGAUUUAAAUUUUAUAUUCACAAUAAAUUAUAAUUGGAAAAUUUAAAAGUGAUAAAACGUCUUCGCGAAUAAUAAUUUACUUGUAUAAAUUUCUAUAGCAAUACUUAUAAGUAUGUAUUUAAGUUUCGAUUUAUUUAUUUCGAAUUUAUUACGAAAUUUCCUAGGGAGCAUUACAAACUCUAAAUUUUUAAUUACAAAUUCCUACAUUAAGUUUCGAGCAAAACAAUUAGAAGACUAAUAAACAAAGUAUAUGUAUAUUUUUGCUAUGUCAUUAUUUUUUCUGUGGUAAUAGUAUUAAGCGCUCGUACACUCAGCUUUGUACAUUUCAUGAGUUGUUUCAAUUAUGGACAUAGAGCAAACUGCUUUUUUGGUUUAUAUAAACUAUACGUUAUAUGUUUACACAUAUACAUGUCCUAUAGUAUCUAGACAAGUCGGGUGCGUUUCGUACACUAAACGUAGAAAAGAACAUGUGGACAGACUUUAACACCGAGAAAGCCUGUGGAGAGGUAGAGUUAGCGAUACUUGACUAAAACCCACAGGGACGUACUCUACUACGCUCUCUCUCUCUCUCUCUCUGAUCUAUACCUCAUAUUCAAAGACGAUAAUGAGGCUUUUAACAGUGGCCUUGUGUCUCUACACAUUAAAUGGAAAUUCGAGAAAAUACCUGACUGCGAUGAUUCCUCACUGCAACUACCUUUUACGUCACGCUGAUUUUCUGAUGAGAUGUUUGAUGGAUUUUCUUUGAUAUCAUCGAGAACGGUUAAAGGUUGUUUGAAAUUGCUCGACAAUUUCCGGUGCAAACGACAAUGUAUACGGCCCUGCAGGAGGAGCAAUAAGAGGACUUGUAAGGACAAUUUUAUCGCACAUCGAUCCCAUCGCUGUGCUCGCGCUCGUAGAGUGCUGCUUACGGAUCUUCGAACGUUCAGGCAGCAAGUGGAAGCGUCGUGGAGUAGAGGAAGAGGAAAAGAGGGGAAAAAUGGAGGGAGGAGUAGAACGGCAGGGCAUUUCGUGGAAUGUCCUGGCGUUUCGGACGAACACCAGGCGGACUCCACCGGAACUCCGAUCGAGCACAGGCUUGCGUCUUCUAGCCUGACUGGUUGGCUGGUUGGCUGACUGGUUACUCGCCUAUACACAACUUGCCCGACUUGUACGUUCCAUGGUUCAGUUUACAUCGGCUCGACAAUCAACGGUCGAGGCCUUCCUUCGUCUCUUCUCUGCUACUUCUAUGUAUGUGUGUAUGUACUAUCGUGGCCAGUUUUUCUCUUCUCCUCUCUCAUUCUCGAUUCUUCUUUAGUCUCUUUUUACUUUGUUUCCCCCACCACCAUCUCUCGAUUUCUUUUCUCCCUUUUUCCUCUAUUUCUUCAGUUCCUCCUUUACCCUUUUCCUUUGACAACUUUUUGUUUCUGUUUCUUUGAUGAUCUUUCUUUGUUUAUUCCUCUCUCGCUCUCUCUUCCGUUUGCUCUUUUUUCCCCCCACUGCUGUCCCCCCCCCCAUGCGUUUCCACUUUUGGCGAAGUAAUAACAAUUUUUACAUUUAUCUACGUACAUGGAACAGUUUGCUUGAGAUCUUUUACGUGAGAAUAUGCGAGUAUACGUAUCUAUGUAUACAGCACUCUGUUUGAGCUUCUAGUUUUCAAUUUCUAUGAAUCGUGACGACGAUUUUCCGCGCUUUGACAUUAAUACUCUUAUCACAAACGAAGAUGAAUUUUUAAAGGAUACAGAUAAGUAUUUUAUGUGCAAAAGUAGGUAAAAAGGACACUUUCAUUCGUAUUCACUUUAGCGGUUCCAGCAAUGAUAUAUUCUUCAAAUAUAGAUAUAAAUAAAUUCAGGAAUUCGAUGCGUUUAUUUGAGUAAAAUAAAAUUAUAUCCUAUUUCUUUAUAUUGGAAUUUAGUUGAUUUACUUAUUCGAAAUUACUAGAAUCUAGUGGUCAUUAUAGUAUUAUUUUCUUUGACAAUGUAAUUAAGUUUUGUAUCCAUUUGUGAAAGUAAAAAUAGUGACAAUAGCUAUAAGUAUAAAAUUUUAUUGUAAUUCUGAAAUGAUUGUUUUCACUAGUUUUGUUCUUUCAAAAUUUCUUUUAUAAAGCAUCCGUAUAUUUUAGAAAUAGGAUGACAACAUUAAAAAAUAUAAUACCGUUUUCGAAUUUUGAGACUUAAUAAUUCAUCGCAAGACACUAUUAGCUUUCCAAUUUUGUUUUAAUCUCUCAUCUUAUUUCUUUCUUAGAAUCACUAUUGCUAGAAGAUUGCACAAAUUGCAUAUCCACCCGUGUUUGACGUAAAAAUUUCGAUUUGAAGUCGCAUUAUCGUUCUUAACAUCGCGCUCCGAAUACGUAGCACUCUUUCACGAAACUCUUUAUGGAACACUCCGAGAGCGUGCUUGAAAAAUUCUGACCUACUGUUGGUGACCUAAUGAGUAUAGAAAUUGCUUGGAAUCAAAUGGAAUGAAGAAAUUUGCGGCAUUCUCAGUUCCCCAGGAAUGUUUUUAUUAAGCGUUCGAGUUCGAAGUGUUCGUGUCCGGACUCUCGACGAGUGUUACUCGCUAUUGAAGUUGUCGAGUUUCUUCUCGCUUUUUAUAAUUAUAACCUUGAAACGUGGAAACCGCAGGUGGAACGGAUCUUCUCGUACACCUUUUUUACACCUGCCGGUCAUCCCUCUUCAGGGAAUUUCUUGGCUGUGCUGUGAGCUUAAACACGCGAGACUUGGACCACGCGUGGGAUAGUUUGAUCAGUUUGAUGACUUAUUGGCGAAAUUUAUCGAUUAACCGACUUUGAAACAUCUGUCAUACGUUCUACGUAAUUAGGUUUUAAAAAUAAAUUAUUACGAUAUGAUUAGAACGAAUGAGAAGUUUUUAUAAUUAAGAUUAAUUAAAUAUGGUAUCUAUUUAUCAUAUAACAUGUACAGUAGAAUUCGUUGCUAUGCGACCUUGUCAGAUAUUUUGAAAUUGCACAAUCAAAUGUUUUAUUAUCUGGAAACAGAUUCGAUCUUGAAUUAUUCUGUGGGCAAAUUAAGAUUCUUAAACAUUUUGUUAUCAAGUACUACAACAAGGUUCAAGUUUCACGAGUCUUACUGUUUGUAUGCGUAUGCUGCUUGGUAUGAUUUCUAAUUUUUAAGAAUACAAUAACUUUUACAAUAAUACACUUAAAUUUAGGAUAAAUCGGUAUAGGAGAUAAUAAUUUAAUUUUGGAAUAUAAUUUCGCAAAAAUUAUUAAAGUUACAAAGAUUGUUAUAUAACUCAUGUUUAACUACCAAUCGUGGCACGCGCUUCACGAUAAGUAAUAUCAAAGUUAUCAAUCGAGAAUAGAAAAUUUAACUCUAAAACUCUUAAAAUUUAAAUCUAACUUAGAGAAUUAGGAAACGAGGGAAGAAAAUGUUACAACUUACAACCAUUCCUUACCCCGAGUUUGUAGUACCUUUGUACAGAGUCGAUAACAUAUUCGUAAUUUAAAAUCACCAAAAUAUUUAUUCCAGUAAACUAUAAUAAAUAAAAAGAAAAUAAAUAUGAAAAUAGGGUAUAAAGCAAAAAUGAAAUAUAAAUAAAAUAUAUAAAUAAAAAAGAAUACAGUAUCGUGUAAAAGCCUUAGAUAGUCUCAAAAGUCUCAAAAAGUAUAUCAAAUAGAGAUAUUUUAUUUCGACGAACGAAUAUAAAAAUAGUACUUGUUAUGUUAAAUAUUUAAGAAGUUUUUAAAACGAAGAAGUAUCAAUGAUAUAGUUAAAUUUUGAUAAAAUAAUAUAUCUAAUAUAAUAACACGAGAUUUUUUGGAGAUCCUGUUCAAUAAUUUCAAUAAAUUCAUUUAUCCGUUAUUUCUUUCUAUUAUAUUUCAAACUAUCGUUUAUAUCUUUUACUUCCUUUCGUUUCACGGUUCAUUCCAAAUCGGUCUGUACAUGUUUUAUAGCAUUUAAUUUAAGACUCUACCUAUCGAGGUAAUGUCUGUAAAGAGUGUUCCUGAAAAGUCUGUAAAUUAAAAAAGAUUACAAGCAAGUAGCUUUUAUGUUACACAAUGCGAAAAUGUUUCGUGUAAAUGUAAUUUUUCCAUUACGAAAUCACUACGCUUACGUAUAUUUAGAAGAUUUUUACACAGUCAUACAUGCAGCUAAUUCAAAAUUAUUCUAAACUUUUUGCGAUUGCACAAAUGUAUGGAUCGGUUGUAACGUUACAUUCAAUUAUGACCAAUGAUGUUGCAGUCAUCUCCUGCUAUGUUCUUGAACUUUGAUCGCAAAAUUUUCAUUGAUGACGCAUUUAAAAGUGCAAAGUACGUUACAAGUUACAUAUAAGGAAGAUUAGAUUAAAAAUUGUAUCAAAUAAAAAUGCUAUACGUAUACAGAAUCGCAAAUUUUAAGUAUUCUAAAGCAUCACAGUAUUAAUUUACGAAAUUGUAAAGUUAUUUUGGUCGUUGCAGACGCCUACUGUAUAUCUAGUCGGUUAAUAUAUUGAUAGGUACACGUUAGUUGCAAUCUUUUGCCAUAUAAUUAACACCUGUUACUUUUGCAAAGCUCUACAUGUAUGUGGUAUAAUAUGAAAUUAAAAUUUUACAAAAAAAUAUAUGAACAUUAAGUUGUACGUCUAUUGUUGUCUCGCGAUACACAAAUUAUUCGUAAUUCGUAAGUAACUAUUCGAUAUUUUUCACAUAUUAAAUGUACCUUUCCAAUGAUAUAUCUUUGAAAGAAGAUGCAUUUUUCAUGCAUGCUUUAUUUUAUAAUAACAUUUAAAUAGACUCUAAUAACGUUUGAUAGAGUUGUUAAUUAAUCCAGUUGAAUUUAAAUAAAUUUGAAUAAGAUAUACGGAUUGAAUAAGAUAUAGACAUACGACCUUAAAAUUUUAUAUUUUUUAUUAUAUUUUUAUUUUAGCUGAAAAAUACGCAUGUAGAUUGUUAAAUUUUUAAACUCCUGAUUUUUACUCCAUUUUGAGUCAUCUCUUUGUGAGUUUGGUAUUCGUUCCACGAAUUGAGGCCCACAACACUAAUAUAUAUAUAUAUAUUGUUUGCAUAUAUAACGUAAAUUUAUAAGAAACUCGAGUAACAAUAAACUCACAUUAAUAAUUGGAAAUGCUCGUUUAUGCCGAGCAUGCGCAAGAUGCUACAUGUCGCUUUUUGUUACGAAAGAAGGAAAGUUCAGAAAAAGACUGCUGCGAGUUUGAAGCACGCAUUUUUAUUUGCUGUCCGCGUUCUGCGCGUCUCGACGAUUUUCGAUUAUGCGGCCAGUGAAUCAUGUAUUU